GAAGAGAGAAGCUUUGUUUAGAAGUCCUACACAAAAAGGUUUAGCAAAAAACUUAGGGACGGGUUCCUUCUUCUACUGACUUAUGUAAAGUGUUUUUUUUUUUUUUUUUUUUGAUAAUUAAGUUUAACACCUUAUUAAAAUUAAAACUGUCAGAAACAAGUUACAAGAAGUUAACAUGGACAGUGAGAGAGACACUCACUCUCCUUGCAGGCCUAAUCAACUCUUUAUUGUGCAGAUCUAAGUCACAUUAGGAAUAGGCAAGAUGUCGGUUGUUCAAAUGACUUCAUCACAUCACUUCAUCCUGAUAACAAAGUUAAAGCAAUUAGCAAUAAUCAACAUGUAUCAAGCAGAUUGCUUGAAGAGGCCAGACUUCUGGCUUCUUGCACAUACGAGUAACAAACACAAUGGGGUGAACAGGUAAGUUAAUUUCCAAAUGAAUAAACAAACCAUCUCAUGUCAUUAUGACCCUAUCAGUAUUGUUCCAUCAAAAUUUUUAUAAGAAUGAGAAGUACGGACAAACUGAUUUAAGCUACAAGAUAAUAUUCAGCUCUCAUAUUAAAAAUGUGUUAGUAUCAUAAUAACUGAGCUGCAUAAGUGCUUCAGCUUAGGAUCUACAUAAAAAAUACGAAAUUCCAUCAGUAAUUACUUACUCUUUACCUAGUGUCUUACCUCUCUUUCUUUCUUAAUGGCGUUUUCUGAAAUAUCCAGACCUACAACAUAACGUUCAGGGCCAACAAUUGCAAUCACAUGAUGAUCUUGUUGGCUAUAAUAAGUAAGUACAAUAUAACGUGCAAACUAAUAAAACAUAAAAAUUAAACAAGUUUGUUGAACAGUUUUAAUUAGAGACCAAAUGUUGUUACAUGCGUGAAAACGCCACUUUCACUUAUAAAUGACCAUUGCAUCAAAAUGUCAUGUCAUCAGAUAAAAUUUUAACAUUUUGGAACAUGUACUCACAUGCUGAAACAAUAACAAACAUGUAAACACUUACAGUGUCACAUACUGGGAUUAGAACCCUGCCUUUUGGAAGAGGAAGAGCAGCUGGUUUGUAGAAGAUUUAAAAUAACAGGUGUUGGUCCUCGCAAAUCCCCAUAGUGUUCAGUGCUUUUUCCUAGCAUUAUUUGUCCCAGGCACCUAGUCAUUCAAACUUAAACAAAAUUCAGAAAUUCAAUAGUUGUAAUGGACAGAACGACUUAGAAAUUAAACACAAGUUUUCCUUUGAGCUUCCAAUGUAGUCAAUUAUGUUGAUGUAAAAAUCCAUUAAGGCCAUUAUGCUAUGCUUCUUGAAGCAGAUUUACAAACAUUCUACAAAUAAGUCAAAGUGUUGCAAGGUUUCUGUUACAUGUUCGAUAAUCUAAUUCUCACUGGUAUGAUUAUGUAUUCACAUUAUCACUUCAAAUUUUCAUCAUCAUCAUCAUCAUCAUCAUCAUACUCAAAUUAUCACAAAUAAGAUAUUGAAUUCCAUGGAAAUUGAAGAAUAUACAAUUAAAUUAAACAACAAUAAAAAGAAGAGUAGAGAUGAGAUGAGAUGAGAUAGUAAGGAGAGAGUGUCAGACCUGUUGAAUCAUUGUUAACGAAUUGGUUCAAGUUAGGUAGAUUUUAGUUGUUGUUGUUGUUCGAAAUCUUCUCUUGAUCUCUUCUCUUUCACUUUGUUUCCUCAUGCUCCUUCGUUCCAACCUAUUGCAAGUUGCAACAACAAAGAUUUUUCACUCUUGUUGUUGUUAAAUGUAAAUGAAGGAAACUGCAAUUGGAUUUGGAGAGCGAACGAACAAGAUUACAAGAGUGUUGCGCGCAAGCAAACAUUACCAUCGCUCGCUCUCGCUCUCGCUCUCGAGUCUCGUCAAACCUUGGAGGAAGAUUGCCUUGGACUGGGCACUGGACUUGCUGAAUUUCUCAACCUAAAGGCAACAAUCUUGCUGUCUAUU
Molecule: long non-coding RNA, 1922 nt
Filed under: Aquilegia coerulea
Lineage: Eukaryota; Viridiplantae; Streptophyta; Magnoliopsida; Ranunculales; Ranunculaceae
Description: long non-coding RNA (ACOE_LNC001251)
Source: RNAcentral